AUUGAACGCUGGCGGCAGGCCUAACACAUGCAAGUCGAACGGCAGCGGGGGGUAGCUUGCUACCCCGCCGGCGAGUGGCGGACGGGUGAGUAAUGCCUGGGGAGCUGCCCAAUCGAGGGGGAUACCAGUUGGAAACGACUGCUAAUACCGCAUACGCCCUGAGGGGGAAAGGUGGGGAUCUUCGGACCUACCGCGAUUGGAUGCACCCAGGUGGGGUUAGCUAGUUGGUGAGGUAACGGCUCACCAAGGCGACGAUCUCUAGCUGGUCUGAGAGGAUGACCAGCCACACUGGAACUGAGACACGGUCCAGACUCCUACGGGAGGCAGCAGUGGGGAAUAUUGCACAAUGGGGAAACCCUGAUGCAGCCAUGCCGCGUGUGUGAAGAAGGCCUUCGGGUUGUAAAGCACUUUCAGCGAGGAGGAAAGGGGUGAUGCUAAUACCAUCAUCCUGUGACGUUACUCGCAGAAGAAGCACCGGCUAACUCCGUGUCAGCAGCCGCCGUAA
Molecule: ribosomal RNA, 505 nt
Filed under: uncultured bacterium
Lineage: Bacteria
Description: partial 16S ribosomal RNA
Rfam family: Bacterial small subunit ribosomal RNA
Source: RNAcentral